AGCGUUGUUCGGAAUUACUGGGCGUAAAGCGUGCGCAGGCGGUUUCUCAAGUCAGGGGUGAAAGCCCGGAGCUCAACUCCGGAAAUGCCCUUGAAACUGUGGAGCUAGAGUACGGUAGAGGUGAGUGGAAUUCCCAGUGUAG
Molecule: ribosomal RNA, 142 nt
Filed under: uncultured Alphaproteobacteria bacterium
Lineage: Bacteria; Pseudomonadati; Pseudomonadota; Alphaproteobacteria
Description: partial 16S ribosomal RNA
Rfam family: Bacterial small subunit ribosomal RNA
Source: RNAcentral